GCAGUUGCUGUGGGAGGCCUGCCGCCUGCUGAAAGGAAGAUGGUUGAUGCUUCUGAGCAAUGAAGGCCCCGUGGAGUCCUGGAUUCGGUGUGGCCUGGCGUCCGUGGUGCACCCCAUGCUGCUGGAUGGCUCAGGACGGGGCAGUUGCCAUGGGAGGCGCAGGCCUGCUGGAAGGAAGAUGGUCGAUUCUCCCGAGCAACAAAGGCCACGCAGAGUCCUGGUUUUGGUGUGGCCUGGUAUCCAUAGUGCACCCCGUGCUGGUGGGUGGCUCAGGACGCACACUCAUUUCCUCUGCACCUUCCUGAUGUCAUUGGCAUGGAAGGAAGGCCCUUGUCCAAGAAGGAUGGUCUUCGUCUUGUGUGAUCUUUGAGAUGCCAUGAGGCCCCUGGAUACAAAUGGUGUGGGCUCCUUUGGAGGCUUUUGGAUUUCUCCUGAAUGUGGCGUUGGUAUGCAAGGAAGGCCAGUGACCACAAGGGAUGAUUUUGAUCUUGGGAGAUUUUUGGAGAUGGCAAAGUGCUUCUAAACAUGUGUGGCAUGGUCUCCUUCAGGCCGGUGGAUACCUCAGGAUGGUGGCGUUGGCAUGGAAGGAAGGACUGUGUCUGUGAGGGAUGAUCAUCCUCUCAUGUGAUCCUUGGAGAUGCCAGGAAGCCCCUUGACACAUGUGGCAUGGGCUCCUUCAGAGGCUUUUGGAUCCUUCGUGAAUGUGGUAUGGGCAUGCAAAGAAAGACAGAGGCUGCAAGGGAUGAACUUCAUCUUGGGAGAUCCCUGGAGAUGGCAGGGAACCCAUGGACACAUGUGGCAUGGGCUCCUUCGGGUGCCGGUGGAUCCCUUCAUAUGGUGGAAGUGAUGAAUUGGCCAGGCCCACGUUGGUGAGGGACAAUCAUCAUCUCAUGUUAACCUCAGAGAUGCCAGGAAGCUCCUGGACACACAUGGUGUAGGCUUCCUUGGAGGCUGUUGGAUCCAUCCUGAAUGUAGUGUUCGUGUAAAAGGCAAACCUGUGUCAUGAGAGAUGAUCAUCAUCUCGUGUGAUCCUUGGAGAUGGCAGGAAGCCCUGGACAUAGACGGUGUGGGCUCCCCCAGAGGCUGUUGGAAUCCUCCUGGAUGUGGUGUGGGCAUGGAAGGAAGGCCAGUGGAGACAAUGGAUGAUCUUGUUCUUAGCAGAUCACUGGAUGUGGCAGGGAGUCCUAGGACAUGUGUGGUGUGGGCUUCUUCAGGUGCUGGUGGUGUUGGCAUGAAAGGAAAGGAGGUAUCUUCGAGGGAUGAUCAUCUUCUUGUGCGAUCCUUGGAGAUGCCAUGAGGCCCCUGGACACAUGUGGUGUGGGCUCCUUUGGAGGCUGUUGUAUCCCUUCUGAAUGGCUAGUGUCCGUAGGCCAGUAAUGGAUAAGUUUUGGACUCCACAGCCAUGUUUACAACCAAGUGCUGUAAGAGGUAUGGUGUCCUUAGUCAUAGUGCCUUGGAAGCCCUGUAGGAUUCAGCAUGUCUUAUGCUCUUCUGGGUCCCUGAGCUGUACCUUUGAGGAAAACCCUGAGGUAGAGGUUGAUUUGUGAUUGAGCAUGUUUCUCAGUGGGAAGAGUGUCGAAGGAGCCUGGGGUGAAAGUACAUCAGGACCAAAGGAAAAUUGCCCUUCACUCAAGAAGAGGCUUUCCUUGAACCUGUCCCCACUGAAAGAUCCUCAUGACCUUCGUCUUCUCUGAUGGCCAAGAGCAGGACUUUUGAUUCAGAGGUGACAAAUGAGUGGUGUUGAGAGAGUUUGUUAUGCUUGGUGCUCUGUAGCUGGAUGGAGCCCUCAAAAUUCUUGUGUGCGUGAUAGCUUCAUGCCUGGUUACACCCAUGCACAUGUCCCAAUAAGAGGGGCUGCCCGUGGGAAAUACAUACACGAUACACCACAGUGGGAUGAAUGGUGUGGCCCUUGCAAUGUGUGUACCUGCCUGCUGUUCUCAAAUACACCUGUUUUUCCUCUGAACUUUCCAGGUGGCCUGGGCAUAGAAGGAAGGUCAGUGGCCAUGAGGGACAAUCUUGGUCUUGGGAGAUCCCUGGAAAUGAUAGGGAGUCCCUUGAUAUGUGUGGCAUGGGCUCCUUCAGGUGCUAGUGGAUUCCUUAGGAUGGUAGCAUUGGCAUGGAAGGCAGGCCCAUGUUGGUGAGGGACAAUUGUUACCUCGUGUGAGCCAUAGAGAUACCAGGAAGCCCCUGGACACAAAUGGCAAAGGCUCCUUUGGAAGUUGUUGGAUCCCUUCUGCAUGUGGUGUUGGCAUAAAAGGCAGACUCGUAUCAUGAGGAAUGAUUGUCAUCUUGUAUGAUUCUUGGAGAUGGCAGGAAGCCCCUGGAAACACAUGAUGUGGACUCUGUCAUAGGCUGUUGAAACCCUCCCGAAGGUGAGGCCAGAGACAGGCAGACAGCAGGGAGCUGGAUGACAUGGCCUUUGGAACCUGUGCGCAUGCCUGCCUUUCUGAUGCACGUCCAUGUUUUCUCUGCACCUCCCUGGUGGUGUUGGUAUAAAAAGCAGGCUCACAUCAGCAAGGGAUGAUUGUCAUCUCAUGCGAUCCUGGGAGAUGGCAGAAGUCCCGGGACACAUGGAGUGUGGGCUCUUUCGGAGGCUGUUGGAUCCCUCCUGAAUGUAUUGUGGCCAUGGAAGUAAGGCCAGUGGCUACGAGGGACAGUCUUCAUCUUGGGAGAUCCCUAGAGAGGGCAGGGAGCCCCUUGACAUGUGGAAUGUGGUCUCCGUUGGGUGCUGGUGGAUCCCACAGGUGGUGUGGCAUGGAAGAAGGCCAGAGGCUGCGAUGGAUCAUCUUUGUCUUGGGAGAUUCCUGGAGAUGGUGGGGAGCCCCUGGGCACGUGCAGCACAUGUGGUGUGGGCUUCUUCAGGUGCUGGUGGAUCCCUCAGGAUGCUUUUCAAGGUUUUUCUGUGAGUUCUGUUAAAGAGUCUGAAAACGGAGCGUAGAAGACAAGCUUCGAUUUCCAGGAUGGUUGUGUUUUCCAGGGAGGCGAAGGUAAACCAUUGGCGCAGCCCUGCCUCCCACAGUUCAUCGUGGAACCAGCACAGAUUUUCAUAUGAAAGUUAUAUUUUUUUUUAACCUCAAAAAGUGACAGAAUGGAGUGUAUCAUGAAAAAGUCUGACAUCAAAACCUCAAAAUGUGAUAUUGAUUGGGUGAGAUAGAAUUCCAUGGAAUUUCAUUGCCAAACCAGUGAAGUGCUAAUUUUGACAUUUGUACCAGCUAACGUAGCUGUGAAGAAACACACCAAUACGCUUCUAAGGACAACAUAGACCAAGAUCUAGGUUUCAUAUGGAUGAAUUUAUUCUUCCCUUCGAGGCAAGACAAGAAGGAAAGAAAGUAUUGGGAAUAAUGCUGCCCUCCCAUCCUCAAGGGCCAGUGGGAACUCUAAUAUUGAUUGGGUGAGAUGCAAUUCCAUGGAGUUUUACUGCUGAACCAGUGAGGAGCUAAUUUUGUCAUUUGUACCAGUUAACUAAUUUGGGAGGAAACAGAACAACACACUCCUGAGAUUGGUUGUCACGGAAUUCCAUGGAAUUUAACUGCUGAACCAAUGAUGCGCUGAUUUUGUCAUUUGUACCAUCUAACUCAUCUGGGAGGCAACAAAACAAUAUUCUCCUGAGGUUAAUGUGGACCAAGAACUAGAUUUCAUGUAAAAGAGUUUAUUCCUUCUACUUAAGGUGUGACAUGAAGGAAAGUAAUGGAAAUAAUUCUGCCCUCCCAUUCUCAAGGGCCAGGGGGAAUUCUAAUAUUGAACGGAAGUGAUUUUGGAAUUGCAUGGAAUUCUCACUGCCAUCCCAAAGAAAUGCUCAUCUUGUCACUCUUACCUGUUCCAUUCCCCGGGACAGAACAAAAGGAUUCACUCCAAAGAUUGGCAUGAACCAAGAACUGGGUUUCAUAUAAAAUAUUUUAUUCUGUCCUCUUGAGAUGUGACAUGAAGAAAAGUAUUGAGAAUACUUCUAUCUCCUCAUCUUCAAGAAUCCAUAGGAAUUCUCCCAUGGUGGACUUUACGGUUCACCUGAACAGGUCUUGGAAAAAGGACUUUAAACAUUCUCCUGUUCUGUGGAAUAAGUAUACUUUUUUUCUGGACAUACACCUUGUCAGUGAGUAUGUAUCAUCAUUCCUCAUAACUUCUUAUCAGGAAACAUUUGAUGUGGAAGAUUUCUUUCUCAACUUCUCUAAUUGCCCCUGUGGUUUGCGGUUCCAUGUGAUACUAGAGUUGCAUAGAUUUUUAACCUUUACACCAAUGAAGAUCUGAGGCAAACAUUGCCCCUUUUUUAGAAGUUUGCAUUUGUCACUGAUAACUGUAAUAAUUGAUCUUGUUGAAAAGCCUGGGAAAUGAAGAUCUGAUAUGUCACUUUUACCAGCUUCCUCAACUGAAAAAGAAUACAACGAAACACGCCGAGAAUUUUUGUGCUUUCUCAGUCUUGCUGAUGAUCUUUCUAUGGGCAUGAAGCGUGGAGAGUGCCAGAGAGGCUGAUCCUCAGCAGUGUGGCAGAGGAAAUUUGGGUGCAACCAAGGGGUAUGCGGUGCCCAAAUGCCACUGGGUCCUCAGCAGUACCACCUGGUCAACAAAUACAAGGCACCUGGCCUCACAUGAAACUUUAUUCCUUUCCCUUGAGAUGUGACAUGAAAGAAAAUAUCAGAAAUGAUUUUUCCAUCCCAUCCUCAGGGACCAGUGGGAAUGAAUUUUACCAUCCCACCCUCAAGGGCCAGAUUGGAAGUGAUAUUGGUGGAAGACAACAUUUUGCCGCUUGGAAUUCUCACCUCCACACCAAAGAAGUACUGUUUUUGUCAUUUGCACGAGCUUCUUUCUCCAGGAAAGAUCAAAAUGAUGCACUGCAAGGGUCAUGUAGACCAAAAUGUGGAUGUCAUAUGAAAGAGUUUAAACAUUCUCCUUGAAAUAUGACAGAAAGUAUCAGAAAUAAUUAUACCAUUCCAUGCUCACAGGCCAGUGGGAAUUCUCACAUGUGGUUGGUCCAGAUAGCUGCCUUAUCCAACUGCCUCCUUUGGACCACUUCAUCAUGGGACAGCUUGAUGCAAUCUACUUGACAAGCCCCUGGAACCCCACACCCCUCAUGGAGCCAGUGUCCACCUCCUAGUCACAGUGUGACCCCAGGGAACUCAUGCCUGCUUGCUUUAAACCCACCACUUAAAAGUCUCCACAGAAAACCUGUUUGAAUAGUACCCUUGACCCAAUAAGGGCAUUGGCCCAUGGGUGUCUCUCUCUCUCUCUCUCUCCCCCUCUCUCUCUCUCGCUCCCUGACCUCUGCGUGUGGACUCCAGGCAUGCCAUAUACCCCUCAGGACCUGAAGCAAGAGAAUGAAUUAAAGAAAACUCCAGAGAAUGAGCUGACAACUUACUCCCUAGUCAGUGGCUCUCCAUGCCUACCUGUGGUCUCUUGGACACCCUUGCAGAAUAUGACUUCCUGGGAACUCUUCUGGAAGUGAAUGUUGUCAGCAGAUUCCCAAAACAACACCCCUUAGACAAAAAGCCUCCUCACCUAUGCAUUGCCUAGGCCACCCACUAAAGGUGAUGGCCACAAAGAGGUGGAUUUGUUGAGUUGGUGCCAUUCCUUCUACUGCCAGCUUCACCAAAACAAUGACACAGUCUUCCUUCUGCAUGGAGACUCUUCUCUUUCCUGUGUUGCAGUGGAUGCCUCCUGCAGAUAAGAAAUGCUUAACUGAGAAAUGCUCAUGUUGGGAUAUCAUCGAUGAGACUUUAAUUUGGGCAUGGUGACUGUUUCCCUUGCUGCCACUUGACUCAAUCCCAGGAGGCUCAGUAGAGGAUAUAAUAUUACACAAGAUGCUCAAAAUGGUGGAAUUGCUCAGUGCUCCCAUAAAUAUACAUUUAUAAUUUUCAUUUGCCACAUGGUAAACUGAAAAAUACAGAAUAUAUUAAAAAGAAACUGCAUGAUUUUUUUUCAAAAAUUCAAAGCAUAUUUAAAUAAUAUAUAAAUUAAAUGCCCUCCUCUCUUCCAAUUCUGUCCCUAUAGUUUUCCUCUAUUAAGUGAACUACAUGCAUUCUUUUAGUGGAUAGAUACACACAAACCAUUGUGGGGAAGGAUCCACGUGUGUGGCCAUAUUGUAACACAUUUUUCUGCAAAUUACCUCUUUCAUUUAACAGCCCUUAUUCAAUGGCCUUUUUCUUUUUCAGUAAUACAUACACAUCUGUGUCAUUUGUUGAAUGACGACAUGAAUGUUUUGUAGAUGAAAUAUAAUUAAAUGUUUUAAGCAUUUCUCAGUCAUAGAUAUUUAUGUUAGCACCAAAUUUCUGUGCAAUGAACCUCCCUAUAUAUCAAUAAUUUUGCAUUUGUCUAUAAUAUCAUAAUAAAUUAUCAGUUGAAUUACUAGGAUUAAGUAUGUGCACACUUUAUAUUUUGAAAAUUAUUGCAAGAUUGCCUUCAAAAAUGUGGUUAACAACUUUAUCCUCAAAUGGCAAUGAAUGAGAUUGCCAGCUUUCCUACAACCUCACAGACAAUGGAUUUUAUAAAUAUUUAACAUUUUUGCCAAUGUGAUCACCCAGACUAUUGUCUUAAAUUGUAUUUCUUUUGUUUUUGAGUUUCGUCAUUUUUUCAUGUUUAUUAGCCAUCUGUAUUUUUUAAUUUCUUCUUUAUGUCCAAUUUUGUGGGUGGGAGGAGGAUUUAGUCUCUUCCUGAUUUCGAAGAGCUCAUUUACUAUUUCGGAAAAUAAGAUUUGGAUUGUCAACCAUUAUAGCUAUUUUUUACACACUUUUCAACUUUGUUUUUGUUAUAAGAAUGUGUAUGAUUGUUAUAUGUCCAAGUAUAACCAUGUUCGCUUUUAUGGCUUCUGAGUUUCAUGUCAUUUUUGGAAAGAUAUAUAUACUGAGUCCAUAAAACCCUUCACCUGUGUUAAA
Pongo pygmaeus (Bornean orangutan) is the source of this 6863-nucleotide long non-coding RNA. RefSeq lists it as uncharacterized. The record is from RefSeq and is a predicted model, not a curated record. The transcript has 34 exons. NCBI's taxonomy places the organism in Eukaryota, Metazoa, Chordata, Mammalia, Primates, Hominidae.